RNAcentral lists this transfer RNA (74 nucleotides) under Myxococcales bacterium. RNAcentral describes it as "tRNA-Pro". It matches the Rfam family "tRNA". Rfam says of the family: Transfer RNA (tRNA) molecules are approximately 80 nucleotides in length. Their secondary structure includes four short double-helical elements and three loops (D, anti-codon, and T loops). The record is from RNAcentral. Lineage: Bacteria; Pseudomonadati; Myxococcota; Myxococcia; Myxococcales.
CGGGGCGUAGCGCAGUCUGGUAGCGCAUUUGACUGGGGGUCAAAGGGUCGCUGGUUCAAGUCCAGUCGCCCCGA